RNAcentral lists this ribosomal RNA (443 nucleotides) under uncultured bacterium. RNAcentral describes it as "bacterial SSU rRNA". It matches the Rfam family "Bacterial small subunit ribosomal RNA", at positions 8 to 483 of the family's 1533-position model. The record is from RNAcentral.
AGAGUUUGAUCCUGGCUCAGAAUCAACGCUGGCGGCGUGCCUAACACAUGCAAGUCGAACGAGAAAGUGGAGCAAUCCAUGAGUAAAGUGGCGCACGGGUGAGUAACACGUGACUAACCUACCCUGGAGUGGGGGAUAACUGAGGGAAACCUUAGCUAAUACCGCAUAACACCUACGGGUCAAAGGAGCAAUUCGCUUUAGGAGGGGGUCGCGGCAGAUUAGUUAGUUGGCGGGGUAAUGGCCCACCAAGACAGUGAUCUGUAUCCGGCCUGAGAGGGCGCACGGACACACUGGAACUGAAACACGGUCCAGACUCCUACGGGAGGCAGCAGUGGGGAAUUUUGCGCAAUGGGGGAAACCCUGACGCAGCAACGCCGCGUGGAGGAUGAAGUCUCUUGGGACGUAAACUCCUUUCGAUUGGGAAGAUUAUGACGGUACCAAUA